GUGCUCAUUUGGCAGCACAGAUACUAAAAUCGGAAGGCUACAGAGAAGAUUAGCAUGGCCCCUAAGUAAGUAUGACACGAAAAUUAAGUGUUCCAUAUUUAA
This is a small nuclear RNA of Nannospalax galili (Upper Galilee mountains blind mole rat), 102 nucleotides long. The record is from Ensembl. NCBI's taxonomy places the organism in Eukaryota, Metazoa, Chordata, Mammalia, Rodentia, Spalacidae.